UACGGCCACGUCACGUUGAAACACCGGUUCCCGUACGAUUGCCGUAGUUAAGCAACAUCAAGCCUGGUUAGUAUCUAGAUGGGUGUCCGCUUGGGAAUACCAGCUUCUGUA
Non-coding RNA from Acanthosepion pharaonis, 111 nucleotides. Lineage: Eukaryota; Metazoa; Mollusca; Cephalopoda; Sepiida; Sepiidae. The record is from the annotation of a GenBank genome assembly.